Non-coding RNA from Cordylochernes scorpioides, 70 nucleotides. The record is from the annotation of a GenBank genome assembly. NCBI's taxonomy places the organism in Eukaryota, Metazoa, Arthropoda, Arachnida, Pseudoscorpiones, Chernetidae.
CAGUUAAACCUGUCUUUAAACCAGGGACCUUUAGAUCUUCAGUCUAACGCUCUCCCUACUGAGCUAUUUC